AGCGAACGUUAGCGGCACGCCUAACACAUGCAAGUCGCACGAGAAAGGGAGCAAUCCCCGGUACAGUGGCGCACGGGUGAGUAACACGUAGAUGACCUUCCCUGGAGUGGUGGAUAACCUGCCGAAAGGCGGGCUAAUACAGCAUGGGACCACAUGGUUUUGACCGAGUGGUGAAAGCGGGCCUCUGUUCACAAGCUCGCGCUCUGGGAUGGGUCUGCGUCCCAUCAGCUAGUUGGUGAGGUAAUGGCUCACCAAGGCAUCGACGGGUAGCUGGUCUGAGAGGAUGACCAGCCACACUGGAACUGAGACACGGUCCAGACUCCUACGGGAGGCAGCAGUGGGGAAUCUUGCGCAAUGGGCGAAAGCCUGACGCAGCGACGCCGCGUGGGUGAUGAAGGCCUC
RNAcentral lists this ribosomal RNA (402 nucleotides) under uncultured bacterium. RNAcentral describes it as "bacterial SSU rRNA". It matches the Rfam family "Bacterial small subunit ribosomal RNA", at positions 29 to 418 of the family's 1533-position model. The record is from RNAcentral.